Molecule: transfer RNA, 71 nt
Filed under: Orycteropus afer (aardvark)
Lineage: Eukaryota; Metazoa; Chordata; Mammalia; Tubulidentata; Orycteropodidae
Also listed under: 1 other name
Description: transfer RNA-Lys
Rfam family: tRNA
About the family: Transfer RNA (tRNA) molecules are approximately 80 nucleotides in length. Their secondary structure includes four short double-helical elements and three loops (D, anti-codon, and T loops).
Source: RNAcentral
CACUAAAAAGCUAAUAUAAAAGCAUUAACCUUUUAAGUUAAAGAUUGAGAGUAUUAAUCUCUCUUUAGUGA